AAUCAUUGCUCCGAGCGAAACAGGGGAGAAGAAAUGUCAAUUGUGCAAAUAUCUUUUUUAAAUCGUUCGCAUCGUGUAAUAAUUGUGUGAAUUUCAAAGUUGUGGACAUUUUCCAUCGAAUGAUAACCGGGGAGGGGGGGGGGGGUGUGUUGCGAUGUUCGGGCGGCAUGUUUCCGUCAGUUUGAGCUAUAUUUUAAUCUUAAUUUGUUCUAUCUUCCAGCGUGAAGCCACUCAAACGUGUCGAGUUGCACGCCGAAAGCUCUUUUGAUUCAGUCCUGUCACGCAGGCUUUGCGCGUGCACGCGGGCUCUCGGGCUCUCGGGGCGUCUCUCCUCCGUCCGUCCGCCCGCCGGCUGGAUGGUUCACUUUGACUCGGCGCGUCCUGUCUGAAGCUCGUCUCCGGAUGCUACUCUGGAAACAGCCUCCACGGAACGCCUGCAGGGAGGUCAGACGAGGUUGGACGGUCUGCUGACUUGAAUAUCCGCCCGUCCCUCCUCUCUACUCUGGCUUCGAGGAGAAGAAGAAGCACCAAUAAACCUUAGAACUAUCUUUUUUUCUUAGUUCUUCGGGAAGACGAUGCAAUAAAUCUGCUCCUUCAUCUCAACCGUGGGCCCUAGACAACACACUCGGACGCCUACAUAUUUAACGCGACCCACCCUGGAGCGCUCCCCCCGAGCCGAAGGCCCCCGGCCGCUCAUCUGGAGAGCCGCCCGGCGGCCGUGCAUCCCGCCGCCCGCUUCACAUUAACGAUGGCGUGUGGGUGGAGGCACAGACGGCCACGAUGGGGAUGACGCUUUGCUGGGGUUAAAGAGACGAGAGGUCACUUGAAGCUUGUUUCUCUAAGAGGCGGAGAACAGCUUUUUCAAUCCGGGGGAUGUUUUGUCCAUCGAGGUCCUUUUUGAUUGAGAGGUCUUUUAGGUUUAGGGUUGCAAUGUUCUUCAGAGACUCUGGAUCCAGCCCUGACCUUUUUCCCAGGAGCGCUGUAGGGCGAAGUGCUUUGGAACAAACAUUUACCGUAAUUACUUUUAAUAGGCUUCCUGGGGAGAUGCUUUUUCUUUUUUUUUUUUCUUAUAUGGGGCCUCUGGUUUUUGGUAGGCGAUGAGCAUAUAAACUGAUCACUGACUUCAAAGUCGGUCUUCUCUAAAAGAAAAUUAAUCUAGUCCAAAAAUCUUGUUUGAAGGGUACUAAUUAAACACUGGGGAUUAUUGAAAACAAGGCCAAUCACUGACUAAAGAUCUUUCAUAAAUGCAAACCAUUGUGAUGUAGAUAGAUAGUGAAAAUAGAUAGAAAAGAUAUAAUAAAAAAUAGAAUAGAUAGAAAAAAAUGUGCAACCGUACAAGAUGUCAAAUGGAUUGUAUUUCCUUACAC
This is a long non-coding RNA of Pungitius pungitius (ninespine stickleback), 1367 nucleotides long. RefSeq lists it as uncharacterized. Lineage: Eukaryota; Metazoa; Chordata; Actinopteri; Perciformes; Gasterosteidae. The transcript is spliced from 3 exons. The record is from RefSeq and is a predicted model, not a curated record.